Molecule: non-coding RNA, 81 nt
Organism: Serendipita sp. 411
Lineage: Eukaryota; Fungi; Basidiomycota; Agaricomycetes; Sebacinales; Serendipitaceae
Source: the annotation of a GenBank genome assembly
GGGUAAAUAACUCAGUUGGUAGAGUGCUCGCUUCGCAAUCAAAGCUGCGUGAAGUCCAGGGUUCGACUCCCUGUUUAUCCA